AGUAUGGAAGCUUUUAGCAAUAAAUUGUAAAUUUAUUUAAAUUAGUACUA
This 50-nucleotide transfer RNA is filed under the name Pseudogarypus banksi. RNAcentral's name for it is "tRNA-Tyr". The record is from RNAcentral. Lineage: Eukaryota; Metazoa; Arthropoda; Arachnida; Pseudoscorpiones; Pseudogarypidae.